CGCUGCCUGUUGCCACCACGAGAGGUGGGACGUCAGGCGGGACCGCCGGUGACAAACCGGAGGAAGGUGGGGACGGACGUCAAGUCAUCAUGGCCCUUAUGUCCUGGGCUACACACGUGCUACAAUGGCCGGUACAGAGCGCAGCGAGGCCGCGAGGCGGAGCGAAUCGCUUAAAGCCGGUCCCAGUACGGAUUGGAGUCUGCAACCCGACUCCAUGAAGUUGGAAUCGCUAGUAAUCGCGCAUCAGCAUGGCGCGGUGAAUACGUUCCCGGGCCUU
Molecule: ribosomal RNA, 277 nt
Filed under: uncultured Spirochaeta sp.
Lineage: Bacteria; Pseudomonadati; Spirochaetota; Spirochaetia; Spirochaetales; Spirochaetaceae
Description: partial 16S ribosomal RNA
Rfam family: Bacterial small subunit ribosomal RNA
Source: RNAcentral